RNAcentral lists this unclassified non-coding RNA (195 nucleotides) under plant metagenome. Its description in RNAcentral is "partial contains small subunit ribosomal RNA, internal transcribed spacer 1, and 5.8S ribosomal RNA". The record is from RNAcentral.
UCUCCGUUGGUGAACCAGCGGAGGGAUCAUUACCGAGUUUACGACUCCCAAACCCCUGUGAACAUACCAUUUGUUGCCUCGGCGGUGCCCGCUUCGGCAGCCCGCCAGAGGACCCAAACCCUUGAUUUUAUACAGUAUCUUCUGAGUAAAUGAUUAAAUAAAUCAAAACUUUCAACAACGGAUCUCUUGGUUCUG